Molecule: ribosomal RNA, 274 nt
Filed under: uncultured bacterium
Lineage: Bacteria
Description: partial 16S ribosomal RNA
Rfam family: Bacterial small subunit ribosomal RNA
Source: RNAcentral
AUACGGAGGGCGCAAGCGUUGUUCGGAAUUACUGGGCGUAAAGCGCGUGCAGGCGGUAAGGUAAGUCAGAUGUGAAAGCCCCGGGCUCAACCCGGGAAGUGCAUUUGAUACUGCCUUUCUUGAGUAUGGGAGAGGAGAGUGGAAUUCCCAGUGUAGAGGUGAAAUUCGUAGAUAUUGGGAGGAACACCCGUGGCGAAGGCGACUCUCUGGACCAAUACUGACGCUGAGACGCGAAAGCGUGGGGAGCGAACAGGAUUAGAUACCCCAGUAGUCC